This 29-nucleotide non-coding RNA is filed under the name Mus musculus (house mouse). The record is from RNAcentral. Lineage: Eukaryota; Metazoa; Chordata; Mammalia; Rodentia; Muridae.
UGGUGCUGACACUCAUGGGAUCUGACAUA